This 95-nucleotide small nucleolar RNA is filed under the name Arabidopsis suecica. RNAcentral describes it as "snoR71". It matches the Rfam family "Plant small nucleolar RNA R71", at positions 1 to 95 of the family's 107-position model. Rfam says of the family: R71 is a member of the C/D box family of snoRNAs containing the C (UGAUGA) and D (CUGA) box motifs. Multiple nearly identical copies of this snoRNA have been identified in Arabidopsis, and it is thought to function as a 2'-O-ribose methylation guide for 18S ribosomal RNA. The record is from RNAcentral. Lineage: Eukaryota; Viridiplantae; Streptophyta; Magnoliopsida; Brassicales; Brassicaceae.
AAGCCAUGAUGAGGGCAUUGGUUGGUAUAGCCUUUGAAGCGCUCCCAGGCUUCACAGAAGCUUUCUCCAUUCUUUUCUGCAAAACCAGAAAUCUC